This 71-nucleotide transfer RNA is filed under the name Stegodyphus mimosarum. It matches the Rfam family "tRNA". From Rfam's summary of the family: Transfer RNA (tRNA) molecules are approximately 80 nucleotides in length. Their secondary structure includes four short double-helical elements and three loops (D, anti-codon, and T loops). Lineage: Eukaryota; Metazoa; Arthropoda; Arachnida; Araneae; Eresidae. The record is from Rfam by way of RNAcentral.
GCCUUUGUGGUGUAACGGUAGCACGCUCGACGCUUAUUUGAGAGGUCCAGGUUCGAGUCUCGGUAAGAGCA